AGCUCAGGUUAAAGUACAAGGAACUGGCUUCACCUCUCAGUGUCCAUGGAGUUCUUCCCUAACACCCUGAGUCUCUCUUCUAGCUUAUGUUCAGGAGUCUCCUUACUCAAGGUUUCAUCGGCGUAAAGAAGCUGUGUGUGUUUAUUCCUCGAGACCCAAGGGUACAUGGAUGCUUAACACAAUGCCAAAGCCAGCAUGCUGAGCAAGUCAUAAGGCGUAGACCCUCAGGACACAAAAGGAACCCAGGGCUGGGGCAGAGGAUUUCUGUGGUUCUGAGCCUCGGUGCAGAAUUGACAUCAUGGCUCUCCAGGGUCCGUGCCUCACUUUUACAAGCAGAAAAGAGGACAGUCGCCUGCUAGAAGCUGUGGCCUUGCAGGACACUUCUUGGCCAGUGCUUCCCUCCGCCCCCUAUCUCAGCUUCUCCAGGACUCUGCCAGCAGGAGAGGACUGAGGACUGUGCCUCAGCAGGUCUGUUCUUCUUGCUUAUGUGACUCAUGGCCAUGGCUUCUCUGUUGCCCAAGACUUGUAUGUACAGCCCCGAUCAGCUGGGUUUUAUCACUGCUUCCUGGAUUCCUCUUAUUUUUCUUGUGUUGCUUGAAGGACCAGUGCUUCCGCCUAUCUGCUGCCAGGAUCACAUUAGGGCUUCCUGUGUCUGCGGCUCACGUCUUGGCUCGGGGACAUACCUGCGAUGAUACUGAACAAGUUGAGGCCAUCGCCUGGGGACUAACUCACUGCUAAAUGACGUCAAUAAACCCCUUUGAGGUUGCUGCA
This 771-nucleotide long non-coding RNA is filed under the name Felis catus (domestic cat). RNAcentral's name for it is "lncRNA (ENSFCAG00000040712.2)". The record is from RNAcentral. Lineage: Eukaryota; Metazoa; Chordata; Mammalia; Carnivora; Felidae.